GACGAACGCUGGCGGCGUGCUUAACACAUGCAAGUCGAACGGAAAGGCCCUGCUUUUGUGGGGUGCUCGAGUGGCGAACGGGUGAGUAACACGUGAGUAACCUGCCCUUGACUUUGGGAUAACUUCAGGAAACUGGGGCUAAUACCGGAUAGGAGCUCCUGCUGCAUGGUGGGGGUUGGAAAGUUUCGGCGGUUGGGGAUGGACUCGCGGCUUAUCAGCUUGUUGGUGGGGUAGUGGCUUACCAAGGCUUUGACGGGUAGCCGGCCUGAGAGGGUGACCGGCCACAUUGGGACUGAGGUACGGCCCAGACUCCUACGGGAGGCAGCAGUGGGGAAUAUUGCACAAUGGGCGGAAGCCUGAUGCAGCAACGCCGCGUGCGGAAUGACGGCCUUCGGGUUGUAAACCGAUUUCGCCUGUGACGAAGCGUGAGUGACGGUAAUGGGUAAAGAAGCACCGGCUAACUACGUG
Molecule: ribosomal RNA, 468 nt
Filed under: uncultured bacterium
Lineage: Bacteria
Description: partial 16S ribosomal RNA
Rfam family: Bacterial small subunit ribosomal RNA
Source: RNAcentral